RNAcentral lists this ribosomal RNA (253 nucleotides) under uncultured bacterium. RNAcentral describes it as "partial 16S ribosomal RNA". It matches the Rfam family "Bacterial small subunit ribosomal RNA", at positions 524 to 776 of the family's 1533-position model. The record is from RNAcentral.
UACGUAGGGGGCAAGCGUUGCUCGGAAUCACUGGGCGUAAAGGGCGCGUAGGCGGGAUGGCAAGUCGGUCGUGAAAUCCUUCGGCUCAACCGAAGAACGUCGGCCGAUACUGCCGUUCUUGAGGGAUGCAGAGGAGAUUGGAAUUCCCGGUGUAGCGGUGAAAUGUGUAGAGAUCGGGAGGAACACCGGUGGCGAAGGCGGGUCUCUGGGCAUUUCCUGACGCUGAGGUGCGAAAGCGUGGGGAGCAAACAGG